ACAAAUCAUCAUAGGUGCCGCAAGGCCCUAUAUACACCCCAAGCCUGGGAAGAGCUGCUGUUGUGGCUCGGAUCGGCUUUGGUUGCAGCCCUCGGGCUGUAGGUCGAGCUGCCGAAAGGUAGCUAGGCCACAUAGACGCUUGUAUGUUUGACAGAGUUUAGUUGCAUCAUAAAAAAUA
RNAcentral lists this unclassified non-coding RNA (178 nucleotides) under uncultured Rozellomycota. RNAcentral's name for it is "uncultured Cryptomycota sequence contains ITS1". Lineage: Eukaryota; Fungi; Rozellomycota. The record is from RNAcentral.